This 409-nucleotide long non-coding RNA is filed under the name Physcomitrium patens. RNAcentral describes it as "long non-coding RNA (PPAT_LNC003763)". Lineage: Eukaryota; Viridiplantae; Streptophyta; Bryopsida; Funariales; Funariaceae. The record is from RNAcentral.
UUUUUAUAUUCUUUAAUGAUUGUCUUUUAGAUUUAUUAAUAGUCAUUAUAAAUCCUACCUAUAUUGGAUACUUUGUUCCAACUUGAAUAAUAUCUUUACAAGAGAUAGACAUAAUAUAAUCCUUAGAAGAAAAAUGAAUUGUUCUUCAUAGUCUUCAAAUAAAUAUCUUGCUUCUAUAAGACAAUCAUUAAUCUACAUAAUGACUAAAUUUGAUCUAUUACAAAAUCCUUCAUAUAGAGAAUAUUUUUGUAAUAAUAUAAUAGAACAUCUAAUCUUUAGCUCUAAAGUAAAUGGUAGCAAUGGAAAUAGACUUAAGCUAUUCAAAUAUUUGGUUAGAUAACAAUUACCAUUGUAAGUACCAUCUUCUAUAAUUACUAUAUCUGCAUUGAGAUAAACACAUGAAAUUCCA